UUUUUUUUUUUCAGUUUUUCAGUUAAAGUUUUCAAAUUUUAUUUUUAUUUUUGCAUUUUAUUUUCUGCAUUGCAUUUGCAUAUAAAAAUUUGCAAUUUUCAAAAAAUAUUUUCCUUUUAUUUUUUUGCAUUCAUAAAAAACCAAAAAAAAAUAUUUAAAGUUAUUAUUAUUUUCUGCAUAUUUAAAAAAAUCUAAAUUAAAAAAAUUGAAAAUGUUUUUCAUGAGAUGAGGAUAUUUAUUUACAUUCGAUGGUUAUAUUAAGAUGAAGUGUGAUAGUUACCGAAAAUAAUAGUCUCAUUACAAUCAAUUUUAAGAAUUAUAUUUUGAGAGUGCUUUAAAUGUUUUCGAUAUGAACCAACAUAAGAGUCAAAUAAUUUUUACAAUGGAAGUGUGGGAUGGAAAAACGAACAGUGUUGUGAAAAUAAUUUCCUUAAACGACUUAAAAAGAACCUAGAUUGGAUAACCAUUUUCAUUCCUUGAAGUACUGAACCCUAGUUUCUACGCCUUUUGAGGUUGGGAGGGAACUCUUUUUAUACCCACAAUUUAUCAUCAUUUUUGAAGUAUUGAAGAUAUGGUGGGCCUCAAAGUAAAAUUCGUGAUCAGUCAGUAUAUAUAUGUUAGAAAUGGUACAUCAAGCAACUUGAAGAAACAUGAAAUUCAUAGUUAAAUCCAAGUCAAGUCAAGUCGAAAUCAAGAAGCAAGAAAGUUAUAUCUGAAGAGUUGAUCAAGACAAAGAAGAUGUGUGGUAUAAUGAGAUUGAUCCCUCGAUAGUGGAAUUAUAGGGGUAAGCUUGGAUUUUCUGUCCAUAAUGGACCUUACCAUGUUUACUGGACGAGUUCGGAAAAAAAAAAGAAGGGUUGGUCAAGCUAAGUUUUCAUAAACGAAUUUUCGUGAAAUUGUUUUUAAAAAUACACUGCUUUCACAAAUUUAAUUCGGCAUAAAAACUAUUUGCUCAAGCUUGGUUUGACUUUAAAUAUGAAAUCUGAAUCGUCAAUAUAAAAGUAUUGAGUCUGUUGUCUAGGUAGUGAUUUCAUUGGAGCUUCCUCAUUGUGAAAUCUAAUCAUGUGAAAAAAAAGAGUGAAGUGUUUUACUUUAAUUUUUUUAGUUUCCUUUAUUUUAUUCUAAAUUCUUUUUAGGUCAUCUACAUCUUUCCACAUAUUUAUAAUGUUUAAUUCUUUUUCUUACUUCAGGGCAAGUAAGGUUCAAGCUUGGGAAGAUUUGAUAGAUAUCAUUUUAUGCAUCUUUUAGGAUAGUUUUUAUUAUCAUUUAGCAUCAUAUUUUGUAAACCUGCAUGUCAUUUGUUUAAAUAAUGUCCAGCUCGUGUCUUUUAUCAGAAUUCUCGUACCGCUAGCAUUUUUUGUGUCAAUUUCAGAUAGUUUGAGUGAAGCAGUACUUUGGGAGUAGCUUGUAACAUCCAUAAAAUUCAUGAAAAUUUAAACUUUUGAAACAACCCAUAGAUCAUCACUGUUUAAAAAAUAGUUUUCAAAAUAUGUUUAAUAUCAGAGUCUUCCCAAAUUUCAUAAAACAAAACAUGACGAGGUGCAUGAUCAUGCCUUCGCCUUCCCACGAUACUCUGAGGUACCUAAAAUAUAAUCCAACACUGUAAGCCCAAAGGUUAGUGAGUUCCCCCAAGAUACCCAUAUACAACAAAUAACACAUAUACAACAACAACAUGUAAUGGGUCCACAGCUAAUAGAAUGGAUUACCCUUGAGCCCACAACAUAAGUCCAGCUUUCCCUUGGCCCACAACUUCUGUCUGGCUUGCUCCCCGGCCUGCUCAGUCCUUGGAAUGAAUACCACUAAUCCCUCAGUACGAGUAAAGCAUGACCUUCCCGACCCUCAGCUGGUAUCUGGAAUGCUCAUGAGCCCUCAGUAUGAGUCUGGACGCGCCCUAGUACGCUCAGCGUACCUUCAUGUACGCUUAGCGUUCUUCUCUUAUCCUAAAAUUACAAAAUAGCCACUAGGGCUUCUCAUGGCUACUUCCUUCAAUUACAGGGACCAAAAUGACAUGAAUUAUAACCAUAAGGUUGAAUUAAAAGUACAUCAAUAUCAUGGUGUUACAUAGCUGGAUGCAUAUUUGGAGUCUAAAUGGAUCUGGAACUGAAGGAGGAUAUUAAGGAAUGCUUGGAAUAUGAUUUGGUCAAGAAACAUUCGAUCGAAUUGAUCAUACAAAGACAAAUUCUACAGUCUAAAGCUAAAGGAUGUUGUUGGCAGCUUUGACCCCUUGUCAGUAUUUCGAUCAUAUCUCAUGAACCGUAACUCUGAUUGACGAGAUUCAAAACAUUAUGAAAACUAGAAAAAAUUCCAGAUGACUUUCAUUUUUAUGAAAAAGUCAAAAUAUGCGAUUACAUAGUCUAAAAAUACGACCGCACGUAUGAUCGCAUGUUUUUCCUACAAUCGCAUGUUUGCACGAAGUUUCCCAUGGUUAAAAUAAGUCGUCUGGAAGUCAUAGGAAGUAAAAACUCAAAACCUAUGAUCGCAUAUAACAUACCUGAAAUCGUAUAAAUGGCCCAAAGUCCCAAAAACGUCAAAAAUAGCAUCUUACAUCAUUUAGGGGCAAAUCUGGAAAAAAAAUCAAAAACCUGUAAUUGCAUAUAGUCAACAUGCAAUCAAAUUUUUUGGUUUCUUACUCCGAAAGUUUCCUUUUUGCCUAUAAAUACAACCCCCAUUAUCAUAUGCAAAGGAGGAGACGGUUCCAAACGACAAAAUACCCUUCUGAAGACGAUUUCUGAUACUUUUCAGCGACUUUUGGAGAUCUGAAGACUGCGAAUCAUCUCGCACAUUCAGUUUAUCUGGAUUUAUCAAUAAAUGUUUCUUUUAUCUAGUUUAGUUUCGUUUUUAGCCUUGGCUAAACGUUAGUUUUCAGUUCUACAUAGACUAGUACUUUUCACACAAUUAGUUUUCAGAUCUGAUUUUCGUUUUGUGUUUCUAUCUAGAUUUUUCAGUUUUGAGCUUAAUGAAUGUUUGGUUUUAAAUUUGUGUUAGUCUGAUCAUCUAGAUACGGUUUUCUCAUUCCAGCUAAUCAGCUAAUAGAAUCCAUAAUUGUUCUUGUCAACUGGUAAAAAGUAACAAUUAUCAGAAUGGUUCCAUUUUGGGAUUUAACUUUGGUAUAAACUAAAAAAAAUCAUACCUUUAUGCUUCCGAGCUUGUGAGAAGUAUUGGGUAUUGUUGGGAAUUUUACACAGAACUUAACGCAAUUGUUCUGAUUUAAUUAAGAGCUUGUUUAAUUUAACAGUAAAAAGUUAGGGUUAAUUCAAAGAUCUUGUUUUUGUUAAAUAAAUUAGGUAAAAGAGAUUAUACUAGAGCUUGUUAGUUUUCCUUAAUACCAUCUUAGAUAGAACGCAUUUUGAAUAACCAAAUCUGAACUGAUUGCAUGAUUAGGAGAGUCGCAGCAGAACUGAAAUCAUUUUUAGCAUUGAUUUUCGUUUAAUUUAACAUCACUGCAUUUCUUUAGUAUUUAGUUUAAUUCAAAUCCCCACCCCCACCCCCCACCUUUUUAAUUUAUGUUUUGACUAGAAUGUGCCAGAUGCAAAAAGGCAUCGGCCAUUAGGUUGUGUCCCUGAGGAUUUAACCAUGUUUUCCUAUGUUAUAUUUUCAGUGCAACCAACAAUGAUUAAUUUUAUUUGUUUAAAUAGGGUGCAACAACCGGUUUAACACUGUUAUUCGCAAGGUGAGUCUUCUCACUAUCUUUUCAUGUGUGGUAUUUAUGUAUGUGACCAUUUGGGCCUUAAUUGCUUAUUAUGGUUAUACAUGAAUUGAAUUGAAUUGCUGAUAACUUCUGGAUUGUUGAAAAUCCAUGGGGUUGUUAAUAACCCUUUAAACGUAUUGCUAAACCACAUGGCGUGUUGUUAGCCUACUCGGAUUGUUAAUAAUCCAUAAGGUUGCUGAUAACCCAUAGUUGUUUAUUCUAUUGUGAUGUAUGGAUACUUUGGGAAGUGCUCACUAAGUUUUAUGCUUACAGUUGUGUAUUAAAUGUGUUUAAGGUAUUUCAGAUGAUCGCAGAAAGGAGAAGACUUGACAGUACACUCCGGUUUGCUGAUUUUAUGAUUUCUGCAUUUUGAUACUCUGAUUUGGGAUGACCGUAUUGAUAUACCUAGGAUUUUUCUUGAUUUGGUUUUUUUGAUACCUGGGGUUUUUGCUAAAAUAAAAAUGAAAAAUUUGUAUCAAAAGUUAGUAUGAUAGACAAAAUCUGGAGUCCAACCUAUUAUCUCGUUAGCACAAACAAUAAAGAUUAUACCUCAAAUUAUUACUUUAAAAGAUUCCAUAAUAAAGGACUUGAUAUAAGUCUUAAUGCACAAUCUUUUAUGAUAAAAAAUUGAAUCCUUAGGGUUUUUCUUAUAAAGAACGUCACCCCACUUACGUGUUAUCUUCAAGAAAGUCUUUUUAGUACAAGCAAUAUGUGGAAGUUGUAACGUCCCAAAAUGUAGAAUAAAAUUUUCUUUAAAUAUAAUAAAAUCAUCCAACUUUCAUUUCAUCAAAAGAUAAUCAUGGUAUAAGUUUGAAUUUCUAAUCAAAUAUUAUAGUAAAAUCAUAAAAGCAAAUAAUGUAGAAAAUCUCCAGUGCAUGCGAUACAAUCAAGUCGAGCUCUUCCAUUUGCUACCAGAAGUAUCUUGAACAUUUAAAACUUAAACUGUAAGCACAACGAUUAGUGAGUUUAGUCAGUUUACCAAGAUACCACAUAUAACACAAUAAAAAUGGUCCCCUCCCUAUGAGUAUACAUUAACCCAUGUGAAUACUACGGUCUACCCAUACUCUUACAAAUAACUUUCGUUGCUAUAGUCCCCUUGUAGUCUUUCCUGCUAUGGCCCUCCAUAGAAUUUCAUACAAUGUGUUAUGGCCCCCCAUAGUCUUUCGUGCAAUUCACAAAGAAUAACAAACAUAUCUUGACAAUACAUGUCCUACACAAUAUUGUGAGAAGACCCACCUCACAGAUAAAACAUAAAACACCAUAACUCAUUAGAAAUGUGAAGAUUGGUCUCAUAAACCACCUAAACAGUAAGUAAACUGUCAAACCUCAGUCCAUGACCUAAAACCCUAAAGUUUGACCCAAAAUCAAACUUAGUAAAAAAUUCAACAUCUGGUCAAACAGGUGCACCGCGCCCACUACAAGACAAAAUAGUCGAGUCCUCAGGCUAAAAUAAACGCGCCCUAGAAACCUUUAAAAGCAUGUCGUGCUAGGGAAGGAUGUGUCACGUUCAGUCCUUCAUCACAAGGUGAAAUGACUUAAUCUAUUAAGUUAAAACCCAAACUUAUAGAUCUGGUCCUCAACAAUGUGUUAAGUUAAUAAACUCCAAUCGAGCAAGAUCAAAACUUUUCACUUCAAAAUGACCUAAAACUCUUAACAAAACUUGCAUAGUGUAGCACCCGGUUCCUGGUAUGUAAACCUUAUUUGAUGUAUUUCCUUUCUUUUAGCCUUGGACUCGGCGAGUCAUAGGUCCGACUCGCCGAGUGGAUGCGGGACCCGGGACGCGUUUAAGUUGUCGACUCGACGAGUCCAUAUCCUGGACUCGGCGAGUCACAGCUGUUGGAUGAAACCCUAAGUUUCAGGGGUUUGCACCCUAUUUAAGGGACUUAUCCGCCCCAGGCCGGCCCCCAUUGACCCUUAAAGCCCUGUAUCUCUCGUUCUAAGCUAUUCUUUGAGAGUUUGAGGUUAGUGUGUGUGUUUUUGAAGGCUUUGAAAGAGGAAGGAAGUAGAUCCAGAAGAAGGGAAGCCAUCCAAGCAUUAUUUGUGUUCUUCCAGCAGUUCCUUUGAGGUAUAACCCGUUUUCCCCUUGAUUCUAUGCUUAAAACUUCAUUUGGGUCCUUCUUGGUCAAAUCCCCAAGCUUGUAUGUGCAUUGUAUGUUGUAAUAAGGCGUUUGGCCUUUGGAUCUAGGCAAGAUUGAGCUCCAGGGGCUCAGAUCUGUUAGCUUUUUGGCCCCAUGUUGCUUGUUAGCCCUAGAUCUACCCUUUUGAGACAUUUUGAGCCCUAAAAUCCAUAUUGGUGAAUAUCCACACGUAAAGUUGGAAACUUUACGUGUGAUUCGUGUCCUAGAAGUCCAGAUCUAUGAAUGGCAUGGACUGGAAUCGAGCAAAUCGGUAUAUUUUAGGAGUGCAUGGCAACGACUCGGCGAGUCGUUCAUGUGACUCGGCGAGUCUGCUCGCGAGUCUUCGAGUUUGUCCCCUUUUCGUAGUGUCGAGUGAGCAGUGAGUCACAGGGUGUGACUCAGUGAGUCGGAAGCUUAACCCAUCUAUGGAGGUACUCGGCGAGUCAAUGCCCUGACUCGGCGAGUUCAAGGCAAUCUCCUUAGAUCAAGAACAGACUCGACGAGUUGUUCAUACAACUCGGCGAGUCUUAGCAUGAGUGUUCUUCGGAUGAAGAUGAACUCGACGAGUUGUUCAUACAACUCGGCGAGUAGGAUGAAGGACUUGAAUAUUGGUCAUGAAGGCGAACCCGUCGAGUCGUCGCCUAACUCGACGGGUAGGAUCGGGAUUCAGGACAGUCGCUUGAGUAGGGACUCGGCGAGUUGGGAGGCCAACUCGGCGAGUCGGGUCAACUGAAAGUUGACUCUGACUUUGACUUAGGGCAAGGUCAGGGGUAAAAUGGUCAUUUUUACCCAAAAGUCAGUGAGCAAGGUGUUGAUUGAAUAUAUUGUGGGAAUUGCAGCCGGAGGGUUUCCGGAGCAGCAGCAGCAGCAGUAGUAGGUGAUCAGUUCCCACACAGACCAGCAGCUAUUUCGAGGUGAGUUUCCUUUCCAGUAGGAACGGGUCUAAGGCACCAAGGCCGACCCGUGUAGACGAGAUGCUAGUACUAGAGUGUGGGCCGAGCCCGUAUCUCUGUUGUAGUUAAGUACGAUAUAUGCGUUAAUAUGAUAGAGUUGCUUAUACUUGUUGUCUGUGUGAUACUUGUAUAUUAUGGGUUAGCGGUUGAGUGUGGGCAGGGCCCGUAUCUCUCCGAGGAUUGGAGUGUGGGCUAGGCCCGUAUCUCCCAGAUGGCGAAGUGUGGGCAGGGCCCGUAUCUUCACAAGUGUGGGCGAGGCCCGUAUCUCCCGGCUAGCGAAGUGUGGGCAAAGCCCGUAUCUUCCCGAGUGUGGGCAAGGCCCGUAACUCAUAGUUGAACAUUGGUUGAUUAUGUGUAGGCAUGGUAUGGGGUAUUAUGCGGGAACUCACUAAGCUUUGUGCUUAUAGUUUUCAGUUUUGGUUUCAGGUACCUCCUCAGCUAGGGGAAAGGAGCUGGCGCGGUAGCAGCAUGUCACACACACACACACUCUCUCCGGUUUCCGCAUUACGAGUUUCUCUGGGAUCGAUACUCUGACAUUCUGAUUAGUUGUAUGUCUUGGUUUGCAGACACGGUUCAUUUUAUGUUAUGGUUGUUCAAACGAUGUUUUUAGUUAUUAAUAUUUUACAAUGAAACGUUUUUAAACAAAAAUUUUGGAUGUGAAAAUUGGGUCGUUACACAUAGAUUUAAUGAAGGAGAAAAUGCCUCAACUUUCUUAGUCCAAGAGGUCCAAGGAACAUCUCAAAGCCCUCAAAUGGUUUUGGAGUUCUUUCAACUCCAAAACACCAACCAAAGGGACAAAAAAGUGUGCAUAAUAAGAAACAUAACAAGAUCUAAUGAUUGGAUAAGCAAGUUUGGAUCUUUUUACUCAUAAUGGUCCCAAAAAGGUUCAAACUUGUUGAAUCUAAGCUAAAGCCUUCCUUCAAUGCACACAAGAGAUACUUUAUCUUCAAGCUUUAACCAUAAAUAAUGAGAAAUAAGAUAUCCAAGGACACCAAGUCCCAUAAAUGAUAGAACAAGGGUUAUGGUUUCUGAAUCUCUCUUUAGGGUGAUGGGGACUGAGAAUGAGCUAACCAUAGGGGUUAAUGUUGCUUAAAGAUUCCCUAAAAACCUAAAAAGACGUUCAACCCAUGGGCCUAGGAACAUCGCGCUCUAAAGAAACGUGUUGCGCCCAUGCAGUAAAUUUCCGACUUUCAGUUUAUCAGAUUUCAACGAAAUAAACAGGUAAAGCAUGAAUAAAAUAAGUACCGGGAACAUGAUGUUACAUAAGUCCUUCUAUAUCCAUCCAAACCACUCUUUCAUUCAACACAAAACCAUUACUCCAUGGUUGUAAGCUUACAAACCAUGAGUUAAUCCCCAUGUUUAUAAAAGUUAUUGUUAGACUACAUGGUAGGAAACUCCACAGAAAAUCACGUACCUCACAAAUAACCAAAAGAAAUUUCAUUAAAACCUUCAUUAUUACAAAUAACACAUAUAUUUGUUAAUGAACAAAAGUCUUUAAUGGAACCCAUGAGAGUGAAUGAGUAAUCCUUAAAUUAAGGCACUCUUCAUCAAUAACAAUGAUCGUUUCAUCAUGAUUUGUCAUUAAGUUGUUUUUCUUCUCGUCAUUUAAAAUUGAAGCAUAAGUUAAGCAUUCUCACUCCUAGCAAGAUCAACAGGAGACCUAUGAAUUUCAAUAGUCUUUGGACCUUCCUCCAUAUGAGCUACAAAAGUUCCACAUUGAAAUGAAGGAUUACAUCAUUAAGUUAACUUGAGUUGAAAUCUCCAUAGUCUUUUUGUUACAUCAAAGGAUGAAAGAAUCAUGAAGCAUUACUUUAUAAGACAAUAAUUUUUUAAUAUGAUAAGGAUUCCAAAUGUUGGAAAGAUUGAUGUAAAAGGAUCAUCUUUCCUGUUUUUUGUGAGAUUCUUAUGCUCCAAACACAGUUCUUUUAUGAGGUUUAAAUCCGUACAAGGGAUGAAAAUCGAUGUGGAAGUUAUGUAACGGCGACGAAUGAAAAAACAAAUGCUUAAUAAUACAUUCAUGUAAAAAAAUACACACUAUUGAUCCCUAAAGUAAUGUGACAAACCAGAGACAUUAAAGGGUUGUUUGAUAUGUCUAUUAUUGAGUCAGUCAAAUUCAGAUUAUUUGAUAUCAUAAUAAGUUGGGUUUUACUCAGUAAUAUAUCAUUUAAUAUGUUUUUUACUGAGUCUGAUAAAAAACUAGAUUUGACUCGAUCAACAACUAUCAAAAACUUUUAACAAUGAAAUCAAAUAAAUACUAGGAUUGUCGGUAUUUAUAAAUUAAGGCCUAUUAUAGGUAUAAAAGUUAGUUGGAAGGAAGAGGUUGUAUGAUAUAAUGUGGUUGGCAAGAGAGUUAUGCUCCCACUUGCAAAAAGAUGUUACUUCAAAUUUGCUUUCAAUACCAAGAUAUUAUGUCAGCUUGGAUUACAUGAUUUUUAUUCCGGAAUAUAAUAUCCUAUUUCUAAUCAAGAAAUGUGUUCCACAUGAAAAUGGAAUAACAAAAGAUGGAAUACUCUAACAAAAGUAGAAAUCUAUUCAACCUAUCUAUGAACAAAUUUUGUUUUUUUUAUGUCGAAAUGAAGUCAAUGAACCUUUUGAAUUUAGAAGUAAAUAGCUAUAUUACCUUUUAUUCCGGAAUUAGGUUAAAUAAAAAAUGACUUUUUUAUAAUUGUACUUAACGUAGACAAAAUCUAAUUAACUAAUAAAAUACUCAAGAAAAAAAAAGAUAAAGUUGCAAAAAUAAUCAAAUAGAAAAUGUCUUAUACAAAUAAUGAUAUAGAUUGUUUAUAUUUGAUAUAAAAUUGUAUACUAUACUAUAUUAUAAAUCAUAUUAGUUAUAUUUUGAGUUUUAAGAGGUAUAAAAAAUAAAGUUUUUUGUACAAAUCAAUUAUAUAUAAAAAUUAAUACUUGUCAAAAGUUUGAAGACUUAAAUUAAGAAAGGUUAUUAAGUAAUUUAAUUUGGAGCAAAUUUAUACUUUUAAAAUAUUAAAUUCAUAUAUAUAUAUAUAUAUAUAUANNNNNNNNNUAUAGACAUAAAUAUUUUAUUUAAAACUGAUAAUUUUUUUAUUACAUAAUAUCUAAUAAUUAUUUCUCCGUUGGAAAAUAUCAAUGUCGCUUUGUAUGAAGUACUUAAAUACGAAUACUUUAUAUUUUUAAUAAUAUAGAUUCUUUCACAUUUGACACAAUAAAUAUAAAUUUGUAAAAUACUUAUAAAAUAAUUGUAUAAACAAUGAUAUAAAUUCUUAAAUAUUUGAUUAGAUAAUAGGCACAACUUAGCAAAUUCUAAAUUUCAAAAAUUAAUGUGAUAAACUUAUAUCUUUAUAAAAUAUUUUAAAUAGAUAAACAUAAAUAGAAAAAUAGAAAAAAAAAUAGAAAAAAUAAAAAGUAAAAACGCUUUUACGUUAAAAAUAAUAUAGAAAUAGAUUAAAAAACAAUAAAAAUCGGCACAGACAAUAAUCUUUAUGCUAUAAACAAUUUCAUCUAUAUUUUUAUUUAUUUAUUUAUUUUGAGGAUCCAUAUCUGUGAAACUGUUACCAGACAUCCGGAUAGUCUGAUAUAGACGUGCCCAAAACAACCGGUUCACAAACCGAACCGGUCAGCGAACCGGAAACCGGUUUACCACCGAACCGGUUCAGCCUUGAACCGAACCCCCCAUGAACCGAACCGCCGGACCGGACUAAUUCGCUAUUUUGAUCGUUAGGACCGGUUUCGAACCGGUUUUUUGAUCCGGUUUUGAACCGAUUUUUUGAUCCGGUUUUGAACUUAUUAGCCCAAAAACCAAAAAAAAAACAAAAAAAAAAUAGAAAAGCUUAUUUGCGUCGAACCGGUUUUGAACCGUUUUUGAACCGGUUUUUGCUGAACCAGUUUCUAUUAAACUGAACCGGUUUACAUAUGUUCGAAUAUUUUUUAGGCUGAAGCGGUUUGCAACCGAACUGGUUUUGACUAUUUUGACCGGAACCGAACCGGUUUUCUGAACCGGUCCGGUUAAAGAAAAAAACCAGUUUUUGCAUGCCUAGUCUGAUACCAAAACCAAGUAAAUGGGAAACAACCUCAUUUUUGUUCUACAUAAAUAGGCCAUAAAAUGAAAAUACCACUAGCCAAAACCAAUAGGAUCAUAGAAUCUACUUUAAUAUCAAACAAUAUAUUCUGAGAAUAAUAGUGAGUCCACUUAUAUAUUUCAUGAUGGUUACUUUCCUUCCCUAUGGGCUACGAUGCAACCAUCAAUAAAACUAGAAAAUUCGCCAAAAAUUAUUACAUACAGGGAUGAGCAAAAGGACCGAACCGGCCGGAACCGGAAACCGGCUUCGGCCAAAAUCAAGAACCGAACCGGCCCGGCGGUUCUAUCGGUUCUAGUUCCACCGGUUCCCAGUUCCUACCGGUUCUUGUCGUGUCUUCAAAUGUUAGAACCGGUCCUCGAAAAAUAGCAUCAUACGGUUCCGGUUUUUACCGGUUCUACCGGUUUUUGCCGGUUCUACCGGUUCCGGUUAUAUCGGUUCCGGUUCCAAAAAUCCACAAAAAUAACGUCCCGGUCCUGGCCCGACCGGUUCCAUCGGGUUCCGGUUCCGGUUCCGAUACCGAUUCUGGCCGGUUCCCCGGUCCAUAUGUUCAUCCCUAAUUACAUAUCUUAUAAUCGAUUUAAUAGUUAUAUAUAUUUUUUAUUCAAUUAAGUCCCAAGAACCACUAAUUGUAUUCAAUUUAACCUUUUUACCUGGUUAACAGUUCAUCAAACUUUCAAAAAUUACAUUUUUGGCCCAUAUUUCAAAUUUUAUUAUAAAUUUAGUCCAAAAUUUACACUUUUUGUCUAGAUUUUUAAUUUUAUUACAAAUUUUGUUCAAAAUUUACCCUUUUGACCUAGAUUUCAGAAUUUUGUUAUGAAUUUAUCAUAACUUUAGUUUUUUUACAACAUUUUUUCUCAAAAAAAAAUCGAAUAUAUUUUUUCUUUAAAAAAAUCAUAUUUAUACUAAAAAGAACGUAUUUUCACAUAAAAAUCUUAUAUUUUUUAUAUAAAAACUUUCAUGUAUACGAAAUAUCUAUUUAUAACUUGGAAAUUAACCCAUUUUGAUAAAUUAUUUUGGAUCAAAACAAAAAUAUAACAUUGUGUGGGUUGAAAAAAAGUUGUAUGACGAUAAAUUCUAUUUUUUAAUUUGAAGCCGCACAUUUUUUAUUUGUGAUAAAAAUUCAAAAUGAAUUUUGAAUACGAAUUAUUAUUUUAUAGUAUUAAUUCUUGUAUAUCUAUUAGACAAAACUUCAAAAAUGGUCCCUGUGGUUUUCGAAAAUAUCAAGUUUAGUCCCUAAGUUCAAAAAACCUCACAGAUGGUCCCUGUGGUUUCAAAACUUUUAACAAAUGGUCAUUCCGUCUAACUCUGUUAGCUUUCUACCAUUAAGUGAAGGGCAUUUUCGUCAUUUCAAUACACAGGACCAUUUAUGAGAUUUUCUCUAUUUAAAAAAAAUAUAUAAUUAUUUAAUUAAAGGGCCUCUCUCUCUCUCUCCGUAUACCCCCACCUCCUCCUCCUUUUUCUUUUUACCCAAGAUGAACACUUCAUCUUCUUCCUCUCUUCCUUCAUAAUCAAAAUUCCACAUCUACCUACCAAUCAGUUAUAUUCUGCCUAAUCUCGACGGGAAAGAUGAGCGGGGGGAGGGGAGAAGCCUGCUGGUGGUUGGUUGACACUUACGGUUGGUGUUGCUCGUCGAUACAGAGAGAAAGACGAGGUGGCAACCGGUGUUUUCUUAGCGGAGGUGAUGGCAAGUGGAAGCUGGAGUGGAGGCAAUAGGAGAUGAAAGACUUCAUGAGGAUGAUAAGCUGAUUUGAUUUGCUCUUUUUUCUCAUAAAUUUGACUUAGUUUAUGUCAAUUCCUUUUUUUCGUUAUUGCGGUUGUACGAUUUGGGAAUCUGGUGUUAUCACUUACAAAUUUAGCAUGAUUUAAGGUUUUCUUUUUUGUGAAUUGGGGUUGAGAUUGAUCUAGGUUCGCAUUUCCAGUUGUAGUUAAAAUGUGGGUUUUGAUUUGAUUUUUGUUUUGGAUUCGGAUCUUAUGCUUGUUUUAUUGCAAACCCUAGAAUUCACCCUAAGUUACAUUUAUACGUAUCUGUAUUUUUUUUCUUUUCUAAAGAUAGUUGAUUUUAAGUUAUAAGUUUCUGUGUAAACCCUGAUUUAGAUUUUUAAACUUCAUUAAGUGAUAUCAUUAAUUAGAAAUACUGCAAUCAUGGGGAAUGGAUUUCUUUUGAAGAUGAUAUCGAUGACAAUGUGGAAUCUGUUCAAGUGAGGGAAGGAGAUGAAUGACUUCAUGAGAAUAAAAUAAGUGUUGGGAAUGUGAUGAAUCAACAAAAAGUUGUGAAUGUGGUCUCUUCUUUGGAGAUUAUGGCAGAAGCAGUUCAUACCAAGGGAUCAAGUCUGUCAUCAUCUGAUGAAGUGAGUGAACAGGUAUAUAAUGAGAAAGACGGCGAUGAGGUGGCAACAUCAGUUUCAGAAACAGGUUCUUAUUUUGAAGAACAUGACAGCUUAAUAGAAAGGUCUGAGAUUGAUGUCAUAAUUUUAUCAGUGGAAGAGAGUCACCCAAAAGAACCUGUAUAUGAUACGAGUCCUCGAUCUGAACAUGUUGCUUUGUAACUCUUGUUCUAGUUGAUUGCAGCGACAAAACAAAGGGAAGAAGAGUAGCAGUGAAUCACAAAGGUGUGAAGAUGGGUGGUAGUUUUAUGGUGUUUUGUACUUGAGAGAGAG
RNAcentral lists this long non-coding RNA (13470 nucleotides) under Lactuca sativa (garden lettuce). RNAcentral's name for it is "long non-coding RNA (LSAT_LNC001738)". The record is from RNAcentral. Lineage: Eukaryota; Viridiplantae; Streptophyta; Magnoliopsida; Asterales; Asteraceae.